CCACAUCAUAUGCACGACUUGCAACCUUGCUGCACUUCAAGCCGUUUCUGGCAUAAUCAAUAUAUGGGGACUGCAAAGCACGCCCUGGUCGUGCUGGCCUCCUAGGCGGAGGUUGAUACGCAGGUGUGUGUGAAGUGCUGGGAGCAGAUUGUAGACCAUAGGUUGUAGCUGAUGUUGUCUUUUCAACUCUUGUUGGCUUCCUUUCUGAAUGUUCAAUUGGGUUAUCUGUAGGUACAGGAGUUUGCUUAACUGCACUGCUAGAAAGUAACUUAUCUGUCCUAUUCCUUUCUAUAUCUUCAAUUUGGGCAUCAAGUUCUUUAAAUUGUUCUUCACUUAAAUUGUCCCAAAAAUAAUCAUCAUCAUAUUUCCUUGCGUUCCUUUCUGAAUUACAUUCACUUGGCUUUGAUGGUGGACGUUCACGGGGUGUGGGAAAAUCAAUGAAUCUCAUAAUGUCCAUUGGUGGGGGAUCAAAAUCCCAUUUAGAGUGCUUUUCUGAUUUUUCUUUGUUUUCCACAACACUAGCAGAAGGAGGGAGCCUUUAGCCAUGAAAAAAGAACAAAAAAUUAGUGUUAGUACUGUUGUGUUACUAGAAAAAAACUUGAUUUAAAAACAAUGACAAAAAAAUGCUAUCUAUUCAUAGUUGCAAUACUAUCUCUCCAUAGUCGAGCAAUUUUAUUCAAAUGACAUAACAAAGGAGUGAUACUAGUGUAGGUGACCAUUUAACACAUAAACACAACUGACCCAUAAAGUAUGAAAAAAUAGACAAAAAAAAAUAUAAUUUCUACCAAAUUACAAAUAACUUGCCUCACUAAUAAAUAUUAAGUUGCUUAACACAAAAAAAUAUAUCCCAUUUACCUCAGCCUUUCCCUUCUUGAUUGAGAAGGAACAACUUCUAGUGGUGUUGGUUCUGAUUCCCUUGAAUCACCAGCCGGUGCAUCAACUUUAGUGUGCUUUUUUGAUUUUUCAUUCUUUUCCACAACACUAGCAGGAGGAGGGAGCCUUUAGCCAUGAAAAAAAACAAAAAAAAGGGCUUAGUACUGUUAUGUUACUAGAAAAAAACUUGAUUUAAAAACAAGGACAAAAAAUGCUAUCUGCUCAUAGUUGCAAAUACUAUCUCUCCAUAGUCGAUCAACUCAUUGAAGUGACAUAACAAAAAGAUUGAUACUAGUAUAGGUGACCAUUUAACACAGAAACGCGGCUGCCCCAUAAGUAUAAAAAUAGACACACAAAAAAAAUUGCUACCAAAUUACAAAUAACUUGCCUCACUACUAAUAUUAACUUGCUUAAUAACUAAAAUUGCACGCAUAUUUUAAAAGUGGUUCUCUACUACUCAUAAACACUUAGAAACACAUGCACCAAAAUGCAUUGUUUUAGGAUUCAUCUAGCCUGUUGCACACUCCAGCUUUCCUGCAACAGAAAAAAGUUGGCAAAAAUAAAUCAACUUUGGUGUCAACUUUACUAUAACAACAUGGCAGAAAAAAGCGUGUGGAGCUAGAAAAAUGUAAUUUUUUGUGUGGGGUGGGGUAGGAAGCAGAGGUGCAAAUAUUUAUUCAAAAAAAUUACUGAAAAAAUCAAUCCAAUAGAAACUGUAACAUACUUAACACAAAAAAAAUAUAUCUCAUUUACCUCAGCCUUUCCCUUCUUGAUUGAGAAGGAACAACUUCUAGUGGUGUUGGUUCUGUUUCCCUUGAAUCACCAGCCGGUGGAUCAACUUUGUUGGUUGCAUCAUCCUCACCAGAGACACCCUCAUCCUCUAGCUCCACUUCUUUGGCCACCUCCUCAUCCUCUAGCUCCACUUCUUUGUCCACCUCCUCAUCUUCCUCGUCCUCGUCCUCAUCCUCGUCCUCCAUCCAAUCCUCCUCCUCCUCCUCCUCAUCCUCCUCGUCCUCCUCGAUCUCUUCAUCUUCAUCAACAUCCUGCUUGUGAGUAUUGGUAGUUCUUUUCCGUGUUGAUCUUCUGGGCUCCUCAUCCCCUUUGUCUUCAUUUGUGUUCUUUUGAUUAGGAUUGGUAGUUCUUCUCCGUCUAGCUGUUCUGGUCUCCUCUUGCUCCUCAGAAUCAUCACUAAUUGUGGACACCUCACUUAUAAAUGUUCCUAUCACUUCAGUGAAACCGAUACAAGCUUUCUUGACAAUUUCAGACAACUUCCUUUUCUUCUGUAAUUAAAAAAAGUGUAAAAAAUGUUAGCUCAUAAGUGAUAUGUAUCCCUUAAUAUUGUAACAUCUAUUUCAGCUGAUAUGUAUGCCUAUUUUCAAGAAAACUAUGUAGUUUCUGAAGCAAAAAAGACCCUGGAAAAAAAGGUAAUCUAUAUAAAAACAAAGUGCUCACACGUCUUUAUAUGGGUUUCUACACUUCCUUUUCAAGAACACAUAGACAACUCAUUCGCUGUCACUUGCUUUUGGAAGGUGCUAUCUAUAACAAUUGAUUCCAGGAUUCAGCUGCGCCCAACAGAGCAUACCUUUGGCAGUUUAAUCACUGCCACAUCUCUGUCAUCAGGCAGCUCGGCUGUGCUUGACCAAGUAUUCGUGAGUGUGCUGAAAUCUGGCUGUUCUAGUGACCUCUAUGUGGGAAGUGCUCUGGUUAGCGCUUUUGCGAGACAUGGCUUGAUUGAUGAAGCUAAGGACAUCUUUCUCAGUUUCAAAAAAGAAAAAGAAUGCAGUCACCUUAAACGGAUUGAUAGUUGGCUUGGUCAAGCAACACUGCAGUGUAAGAAGCAGUAAAAAGUUUUUUGUGGGAACAAGGAAUACUAUUGUUGUAUGUUGUGUUGCUCAGUGCCAUAGCUGAAUAUUCUAUACCUGAAAGAAGGUUUGAGGAUCAACAAACUUCUAGUGGUGUUGGUUCUGUUUCCCUUGAAUCACCGGCCGGUGGAUCAACUUUGUUGGUUGCAUCAUCCUCACCAGAGACACCCUCAUCCUCUAGCUCCACUUCUUUGGCCACCUCCUCAUCCUCUAGCUCCACUUCUUUGUCCACCUCCUCAUCUUCCUCGUCCUCGUCCUCAUCCUCGUCCUCCUUCCAAUCCUCCUCCUCCUCCUCCUCAUCCUCCUCGUCCUCCUCGAUCUCUUCAUCUUCAUCAACAUCCUCUUCUAUUCCUCCAGUCGACUCAAAGGAGCGAGGGGUUCAAUGCUUUGUUGAAGAAGUAUGUCAACCCAAACUUGUCAGUGCUACAGUUUGUGAGGCAGUACCAGAAAAUACAAGAAAAGUGUCUGGUUGCACAGGAUGGGCAAGACUUCAGGACCGAUGAGAAUGAGCGAAGACGAUGGUCAAGGCAUCCACUUGAGAAGCAUGCUUCCACUGUAUACACAAAGAAUAUGUUUUACAGGUUCUCCAAAGAGUUUGAGAAAACUGCAGAAUAUGAUGUGAAGCCUGUAGGGCAGUUCCAAUAUUGGUUGGAGCCCAAUAAUAGCUUUGUUUUUGGGUAUGGAAAAAGGAACUAUCUUGUUACAGCAAUAGAAGAGGAUGAAAGCUAUUGCUGCGAGUGCAGCAAGUUUGAUAGGGAUGGAAUCAUUUGCUGCCACAUUAUGAGAGUUAUGGUCAGAAUGGGUGUGAAAUUAAUACCAGAAAGGUACAUCCUUAAAAGGUGGACGCAACAAGCAAUUGCUAGUGAUACUAACCAGGUCCAAAAUGUGAAUGCACCAGUGGGACUUGUGGCCCGUGGGAUGCCAUUGACUAGUGAGAAAACUUUGAGAUUUACCAACGCAACCACCGCGUUUGCAGCAAUAGCAGUGGAAGGUUGUACAAAUGAUGAAAACUAUGCUAUUUUGGAGAAGCACAUCAAGGAGAUGCGAUCUGAAUUUGAAGAAAUUAAGAAAAGGACGAUGGCAAAUAGGCAAAACACUAGUGGUGCAGAAGGUGGUGCUACAGAAGGUGCACAAAAUGGUACAGGUGUCUCUACUCUAACUGGACCUUCAUUGCAAACUGCAAGUUUAAAAAACUAGACACUAUAUUCUGCUUUGCUUCAUUUUUGUAUGUCUGUACUAUAUUGAUUAGUUGCUUGUUGCAUUUCACAUUGUAGGUGCAGUGGCUGGUCCAAAUACAUCAAGUGUAGCGAACCCCCCAAAAUCAAAAGCUAAAGGGCGCAGGAAGGAGAAGGCACACAAAAAAGGGAUGAAUGGUCAAGCGAAGAGGAAGAAUAAGUGCAGCAUUUGCAAAUCAUAUGAUCACAAUGCACAGAGAUGCCCGGACAAACUCAAAAAAAAAAUAAAAACAGUUUCUUAGUGGGAAUACAUACCUAGCAAAUAUUCAUUUUACAUCUCCAUGCAAUAUUGUUUUCCGGAUGUUGGAGCCAUUUGUAUGUGAGCAUCUUUCGAAUAGUUGGCAUAUCUUUUUCCUUAAACUCUGGCAUGUUAAUACCAUUCCAGUGUUCACAGUGCAUUAGCAUGUGGAACCCGCAGUCAUGACUGCAAAAAAAAAGUCAUAAUCAUAUGGAGGAUGACAGAAACUUUAGAUAUGAAAAUAAAUAUGUAUGUUGAACUGUUGACCUACUUGUUUGACUGCAAUGGAACAUUAAUAUCAAUCAGUUGGUACUUGUCAAUAUUCUUCCUUGAAUUAGGGUAAUGUUUGCGCCAAAGUUCCUUAAUUGCAGUGAUCAAAUUGUUGCAGCAUGUCUUCAAGUUAAUGUCAGCGAGAGACCUCAUAGAAUCGAGAACUUCAAACCUUUCUUCCCUUAGGUUCAAGACUAGAAGGAAGAAGUGGCCCACUGUUCUAUCAAGCCUUUUGAAACGAAUAUUUUGCAAUACAGGAAACAUGACCUACAAAAAAAAAUGCUAGCAAAAAAAUGAGAAUAGCUACUAAAACCAAAAAAAAGGCUUCAUAGCAUCUAUAUUGCCAGAAAAAACAUAAUCCUUGAGUGAUAUAACAGCUAGCAGGCUUCUAAAAAAAUAAAAAUAAAAAAAUGGUCGUGAAUCGAAUUGAGAUAUGGACAAUUUAACAUAGGAACUACCUGUUGUUCUCUGCCCUACACAUGUCAUAUUUUGUUAUUUUCUAUAAAUUGCUCCACAAAUUUUAGAACACAAAAACAAAAAGUUAUGAUGGUAGGACACCAAGAUUGCAUAUUUUUUUUUAAAAAAAAAGUAUAACCUAAAACGAAACAAUAUUAUAGCCUAAUGAACAUAGUUAAAAUGCCUAUUUCGAAAAAAAAGAAGAGGAUUAAGUGGACGAUCAAUUACCAAUUGAGAACGGUCUAGGUGAUGGAGGCUUCUUUGGAAAGCACAAUUAAUCUCCCCAUUAUCCAGAAUCCCAUCUUGUAGAAAAGACUGUAAAAAAAGAGAAUUAAAAAAAUAAUGUUAGAAAAAAAGUGCUUGUUUGAAAAAAAUAAGCAUACAAACUAAGAAACAUCAGUAAAAGUAAAAAGAAAAGGGGGGAUUCUCACAGCUAUUCUUAGUGGGAGUAUUUGUUUUACAGGGAUCUUGGCCUUUCUGUCUUUUAAUGCAUAUAUAGCAAUUUCAGCUACUGUGUUGAAUAAUUUUCCACCUGGUUUAACUGAUUCAGAAAGGUGCUUCAAGCUCACAUAGUAAUCUGGAUAACUCGCUGCGUACAACAUAGAUGGGUCAUAGUUAAAAAAACAAAAAUACAAAAUGAAUUCGAGAGUUUAACAGGCGGAAAUGCCAGUCAAAAAAGAAAAAGUUGCACAUACUCUCCUUGGCUUGAGCUUUGACUCGAACUCCUGGUUGACCUUCUAGUGGCCGAGCAUACCACAUCAUAUGCACGACUUGCAACCUUGCUGCACUUCAAGCCGUUUCUGGCAUAAUCAAUAUAUGGGGACUGCAAAGCACGCCCUGGUCGUGCUGGCCUCCUAGGCGGAGGUUGAUACGCAGGUGUGUGUGAAGUGCUGGGAGCAGAUUGUAGACCAUAGGUUGUAGCUGAUGUUGUCUUUUCAACUCUUGUUGGCUUCCUUUCUGAAUGUUCAAUUGGGUUAUCUGUAGGUACAGGAGUUUGCUUAACUGCACUGCUAGAAAGUAACUUAUCUGUCCUAUUCCUUUCUAUAUCUUCAAUUUGGGCAUCAAGUUCUUUAAAUUGUUCUUCACUUAAAUUGUCCCAAAAAUAAU
RNAcentral lists this long non-coding RNA (6041 nucleotides) under Sorghum bicolor (sorghum). RNAcentral describes it as "long non-coding RNA (SBIC_LNC005448)". The record is from RNAcentral. Lineage: Eukaryota; Viridiplantae; Streptophyta; Magnoliopsida; Poales; Poaceae.